Molecule: ribosomal RNA, 164 nt
Filed under: Teucrium demnatense
Lineage: Eukaryota; Viridiplantae; Streptophyta; Magnoliopsida; Lamiales; Lamiaceae
Description: 5.8S ribosomal RNA
Rfam family: 5.8S ribosomal RNA
About the family: 5.8S ribosomal RNA (5.8S rRNA) is a component of the large subunit of the eukaryotic ribosome. It is transcribed by RNA polymerase I as part of the 45S precursor that also contains 18S and 28S rRNA.
Source: RNAcentral
AAAACGACUCUCGGCAACGGAUAUCUCGGCUCUCGCAUCGAUGAAGAACGUANCGAAAUGCGAUACUUGGUGUGAAUUGCAGAAUCCCGUGAACCAUCGAGUCUUUGAACGCAAGUUGCGCCCGAAGCCNUUNGGCCGAGGGCACGUCUGCCUGGGCGUCACGC